AUGAAGGAUGGGUGGAGCCGGAUGCUGCAGAUUGUGGGCGCGUCGCACCGGGCAACUGUUGGUGGUGGCGGAGGGGGAGUAGGGGCAAGGCGCUGCGGGAAGUCACAGGAGGCAAGCGGAACAGCUGCCCCAGAUCUGCCACCAGGGGGCACUCCGCCACCGAGAGACGCGCCGCCAGAGCGCCAGGCUGACAGGUGUGAGGGGGGUCGCGCGCAAUCGGCCGGGCCGGAGACGAGGAGAGGACCCACCGCCACUGCCACGGAUCUGCCACCAGGCGGCGCUGAGGGGAGGUGCCUAGAGAUGGGGUGCUUGGUGGCUUGGUGGCGGCGCGCCCGGGGGAAUCUGCCCGUGCUUCGGCGCUCGGCCCUGUGCUAUAUCAGUGAAGAAAGAGAUGCAGAUAGGGACGAUAGUAGAUGGAGCGAGAGAAUAGAAGAGAGAAGCGAUGGAGUUUAUUUUCUUGCUUUUGACAAAAGAGUGGUGGAGGUGGAGACGAAUGGUAAGUUUCGAGGUGGAGGUGGAGGUGUACGUGUCAGCCAGUGGCAAAAAAAAAUAGUGAAAGAAAAAUAUGCAUGA
RNAcentral lists this ribosomal RNA (573 nucleotides) under Triticum aestivum (bread wheat). RNAcentral describes it as "partial small subunit ribosomal RNA". Lineage: Eukaryota; Viridiplantae; Streptophyta; Magnoliopsida; Poales; Poaceae. The record is from RNAcentral.